CCUGCAGACACGUAGUCACAGGAGUAGCCCUUACUUGGGUCAAAAUCAUGGUUUGUCCUACGUACCCACGCAGGGCUGGAUGGGGGGGGGGGUUUGCCAACAGUCCCUUAUUUUUUUAUCUCUGUACAAGAUCAGGAGUUGGUGAGUGCUGCAAAAAGCAGCAAGAAAUUCCCCUGGCAAAAAUUCCCCUGGCAAAGAUGAAAACUUCCAAGACGCAGAGCUGUGAGAACGUGAGUAAUCUGUGUGGUGCUCCUGGAAAGUGUGCGUGUGUAGGAGGGAGAGAAAUGGAAAACCAUUCCCCCCUACAAAGAGUUCUCUAUACCAAAAAUGGUUUGGAUUUUGAAACGGAAACAAACUUUUUGAUUUCAAAUUAAUUGAAAAUUAGAAACUUCGGUGGAAAAUGUUGAAUGCAACAAAACGUUUAAUUUCUUUUGGUGGGGGGAAGAGGAGAAUGUUUUUAAGGACAAUACCUUUUUUUCAGACUGGUUCUAACUGGGAUUCAUGUCUGGAUGAGCAGGGAAGGUGAUCUACCACGACAGACAACUUUUGCAGAAUGCUGCCAUAGUAUCAUUUGGGAUGCUACUUGAUUUUAAGUCUAUUUGAACAGACAGAAGUUUUUUUUACUAUAAUCCAGGGAAAUUAUUUUGCUAAGGAAACUGUCCUGGUUUCAUACAUUCCCUAUGCUUGUCAGUACUAAUAAAAAGGCUAAACAAAGGGAUUCAUCACCAAUGCAAAUAAAAUAUUAACUGCAAAGAAGAGAGAGAAAAUGUAAGAGAUGCAUUUUCAUUAGGUAAUCGGGGAAGACUCUGGCCUCUUUCAGUCUGCAUAUCCUGCAAAGAUCUUACUGUUUAUUUCUCUUAUAUCCUUUAUGUUGGAUAAGAUAUAAUGGAUACUGGAUCUGGAUAGUGGCUUUCCUUCAGUUUCUGAGGCACCUGUCAUGUUGUGUGAUGCCACUUUACAUUUGUUAAAAUAACAUUGCAAGACAUAACAUAAUGCAAUGCAAAAUGAAGCGUUAUAAAUGUGACAUGGCGUGUCUAAAACAAUUCUUGCUUUUAGUGGAUCAGUUAUCCUUUAAAAGCUGGUAUUUAGGAUUGUCCUUAGAUAAUUCAAUAGCUCCACAUCUCUUGUAGGAGCGAUGUCAACCUGAGUUACCAUUUCUGCUUAACAGAGAUGAUGGGAGAAGAUGGCAUGAAAAGGGAUGAAAGGAAAACAGAUUCUGAAUACAUAUCCUGGAGCACUUUUUCAAGCAAGUGAUCAAGGAAAGUUUUUGGGGCCAAGCUCUACAGCCCUGUAAGAAACAGUAACCAUCAGAGAACAGCUGGGCUCUGAGGUAUAGUUUUUGCUGUACUCCUUCUUGCUUUUUAGUUUUCCUUGACUGUUUAACCCACCAUCACUGUGAGUGCGCUGACAUCAUGGAAGAAAAAUGUGUUAAAUUGAUUCUGCCCUAGAGGGAAGGGAAGUGGAUUUAGAACACAAAUUGUUGUUGAAAUCGGGAGAAUGCAGCUUGGAAUUUCUGUGAACCCAAAGCAUGUGAUCAUCUUCCUUCCCCCCCCCCCCCAGAU
Malaclemys terrapin pileata is the source of this 1562-nucleotide long non-coding RNA. RefSeq lists it as uncharacterized. NCBI's taxonomy places the organism in Eukaryota, Metazoa, Chordata, Testudines, Emydidae. The transcript has 3 exons. The record is from RefSeq and is a predicted model, not a curated record.